UGCCAGCCGCCGCGGUAAGACGGAGGGGGCUAGCGUUGUUCGGAUUUACUGGGCGUAAAGAGCAUGUAGGCGGCAUGGCAAGUUGGGAGUGAAAGCCCGGGGCUUAACCUCGGAACUGCUCUCAAAACUGCCAAGCUAGAGUAUGGUAGAGGAUGAUGGAAUUCCUAGUGUAGAGGUGAAAUUCUUAGAUAUUAGGAGGAACACCGGUGGCGAAGGCGGUCAUCUGGGCCAUUACUGACGCUGAGAUGCGAAAGCGUGGGGAGCAAACAGGAUUAGAUA
Molecule: ribosomal RNA, 279 nt
Filed under: uncultured bacterium
Lineage: Bacteria
Description: partial 16S ribosomal RNA
Rfam family: Bacterial small subunit ribosomal RNA
Source: RNAcentral